RNAcentral lists this ribosomal RNA (384 nucleotides) under Nitrosomonadales bacterium SCN 54-20. Its description in RNAcentral is "bacterial LSU rRNA". It matches the Rfam family "Bacterial large subunit ribosomal RNA", at positions 2555 to 2925 of the family's 2925-position model. The record is from RNAcentral. Lineage: Bacteria; Pseudomonadati; Pseudomonadota; Betaproteobacteria; Nitrosomonadales.
GUAGCCGGUCCCAAGGGUAUGGCUGUUCGCCAUUUAAAGUGGUACGUGAGCUGGGUUUAAAACGUCGUGAGACAGUUUGGUCCCUAUCUGCCGUGGGCGUUGGAAGUUUGAGAGGACCUGCUCCUAGUACGAGAGGACCGGAGUGGACGCACCUCUGGUGUACCGGUUAUGACGCCAGUCGUAUCGCCGGGUAGCUAAGUGUGGAAGAGAUAACCGCUGAAAGCAUCUAAGCGGGAAACUCGCCUCAAGAUGAGACUUCCCGGGGGUUAAACCCCCCUAAAGGUUCGUCGAAGACUACGACGUUGAUAGGUCGGGUGUGGAAGCGCAGUAAUGCGUUAAGCUAACCGAUACUAAUUGACCGUGCGGCUUGAUCCUAUAACCUUA